GGCGUGUUCGUCUAUCGGUUAGGACAUAGCCCUCUCAAGGCUGAAAGAUGAGUUCGAUUCUCAUACACGCUGCCA
RNAcentral lists this transfer RNA (75 nucleotides) under Verrucomicrobiota bacterium. Its description in RNAcentral is "Verrucomicrobia bacterium (gut metagenome) tRNA-Glu". It matches the Rfam family "tRNA". Rfam says of the family: Transfer RNA (tRNA) molecules are approximately 80 nucleotides in length. Their secondary structure includes four short double-helical elements and three loops (D, anti-codon, and T loops). Lineage: Bacteria; Pseudomonadati; Verrucomicrobiota. The record is from RNAcentral. RNAcentral also lists the same sequence under 1 other name.